This 698-nucleotide small RNA is filed under the name Curvularia sp. III JC-2012. RNAcentral describes it as "eukaryotic LSU rRNA". The stretch from base 470 to 698 matches the Rfam family "Eukaryotic large subunit ribosomal RNA", at positions 1 to 227 of the family's 3401-position model. Lineage: Eukaryota; Fungi; Ascomycota; Dothideomycetes; Pleosporales; Pleosporaceae. The record is from RNAcentral.
UACAAUAUGAAGGCUUCGGCUGGAUUAUUUAUUUCACCCUUGUCUUUUGCGCACUUGUUGUUUCCUGGGCGGGUUCGCCCGCCACCAGGACCACACCAUAAACCUUUUUUGUUAAUGCAGUCAGCGUCAGUACAACAAAUGUAAAUCAUUUACAACUUUCAACAACGGAUCUCUUGGUUCUGGCAUCGAUGAAGAACGCAGCGAAAUGCGAUACGUAGUGUGAAUUGCAGAAUUCAGUGAAUCAUCGAAUCUUUGAACGCACAUUGCGCCCUUUGGUAUUCCAAAGGGCAUGCCUGUUCGAGCGUCAUUUGUACCCUCAAGCUUUGCUUGGUGUUGGGCGUUUUGUCUUUGCUCGCCAAAGACUCGCCUUAAAACGAUUGGCAGCCGACCUCUUGGUUUCGCAGCGCAGCACAAUUUUGCGCUUGCAAAUCAGCAAGUUGGCACUCCAUCAAGAACAUUUUCUUACGUUUGACCUCGGAUCAGGUAGGGAUACCCGCUGAACUUAAGCAUAUCAAUAAGCGGAGGAAAAGAAACCAACAGGGAUUGCCCUAGUAACGGCGAGUGAAGCGGCAACAGCUCAAAUCUGAAAUCUGGCUCUUUCAGAGUCCGAGUUGUAAUUUGCAGAGGGCGCUUUGGCUUUGGCAGCGGUCCAAGUUCCUUGGAACAGGACGUCACAGAGGGUGAGAAUCCCGUACGUG